AAGAAGAUUAGCUGUGCCCUACCGUUGAUGUUUUUUCGAUAUUUUAAUAUUAAAGCGAUAUUGAAAAACAUCAACGAUAGGGCACAGAUUAUCUUCU
Cinara cedri is the source of this 97-nucleotide non-coding RNA. The record is from the annotation of a GenBank genome assembly. NCBI's taxonomy places the organism in Eukaryota, Metazoa, Arthropoda, Insecta, Hemiptera, Aphididae.